CGGCGGACGGGUGAGUAACGCGUGGGUAACCUGCCUCAUACAGGGGGAGUAACAGUUGGAAACGGCUGCUAAUACCGCAUAAGCGCACAGUACCGCAUGGUACCGUGUGAAAAACUCCGGUGGUGUGAGAUGGACCCGCGUCUGAUUAGCCAGUUGGCGGGGUAACGGCCCACCAAAGCGACGAUCAGUAGCCGGCCUGAGAGGGUGAACGGCCACAUUGGGACUGAGACACGGCCCAGACUCCUACGGGAGGCAGCAUG
RNAcentral lists this ribosomal RNA (260 nucleotides) under uncultured bacterium. RNAcentral describes it as "partial 16S ribosomal RNA". It matches the Rfam family "Bacterial small subunit ribosomal RNA", at positions 96 to 353 of the family's 1533-position model. The record is from RNAcentral.